UGGCACCUGGGGAAACACAGAUGCAGUCGGUAUUGCUACUCCUGAGGAGCGAGUAGGUGCAGGGAAGGCGUGCUGGAGCCUCUGAACACUGCAGGGCAGUCCGAAGAGGAGCUGUGUUUGCAAGCAGAGUCCUGGGGAUGCAGUGAAUCUCACUGCUCUCUCUGAAGUAGGGUGUUCAUCUCUUCGGUGGAGCUCUGCUAGAAGACACUUUGUGGAGCAGAUUCCAAGGAAGGAUGUGGGCUUUGCUUUCUUCAUUUCUAUCCAUCUAGCUUUCAGAAGAAGCCCAGCAUCCUAGGCAGGUUCCUGGCUCUGUACGGCACCGGCAGAAGGCAAAUCGCUCUGUUGGGAACAGAAGGAGCCAACUUCUACCUCGCUCGGAUCCAUGGAGGGCCCACAAUCAGCAAUGCUGCCCUCAAGCAGGGAAAUCUCAUACUCUGGAGCUGAUGCUUGAUUUCAGAGAGACCCUACACCUGCUGAUGCAGCCAUAUUUCUUCCUGAUCCAACUAGAUUUUCCUCAGGUGCCUCUUCUGCAAGCAUUGCCUAAAUCCACCCUUCUUUGGGAAGACUUGAGUCAUCACUCAUAGGGAAAGGGAUGUAGAAAUGAAACUGAGUGCUAGGAUGUCAAAGCCAAAGUGCAUUUUUGAAUUUUUAGGUCAGGUUUGAUCACCAUUAUGU
This is a non-coding RNA of Struthio camelus australis, 675 nucleotides long. NCBI's taxonomy places the organism in Eukaryota, Metazoa, Chordata, Aves, Struthioniformes, Struthionidae. The record is from RefSeq and is a predicted model, not a curated record.